This 253-nucleotide ribosomal RNA is filed under the name uncultured bacterium. RNAcentral describes it as "partial 16S ribosomal RNA". It matches the Rfam family "Bacterial small subunit ribosomal RNA", at positions 524 to 776 of the family's 1533-position model. The record is from RNAcentral.
UACGAAGGGGGCUAGCGUUGCUCGGAAUCACUGGGCGUAAAGCGCACGUAGGCGGAUUGCUAAGUCAGGGGUGAAAUCCUGGAGCUCAACUCCAGAACUGCCUUUGAUACUGAAGAUCUUGAGUCCGGGAGAGGUGAGUGGAACUGCGAGUGUAGAGGUGAAAUUCGUAGAUAUUCGCAAGAACACCAGUGGCGAAGGCGGCUCACUGGCCCGGUACUGACGCUGAGGUGCGAAAGCGUGGGGAGCAAACAGG